This is a long non-coding RNA of Crotalus tigris (Tiger rattlesnake), 1524 nucleotides long. RefSeq lists it as uncharacterized. NCBI's taxonomy places the organism in Eukaryota, Metazoa, Chordata, Lepidosauria, Squamata, Viperidae. The transcript is spliced from 3 exons. The record is from RefSeq and is a predicted model, not a curated record.
UGUAGGUUUAUGUUUUAUUUUAAAACUUUAUAAUUUAUUUGAUCUUAUUUUAAUGAUUCUUCCACUAUUUUAAAAAAACUUUUGCAAAUGAAGAUGAGGGUGAUUCAAAAAUCCUUCCAUGUUUUUUUUUUUUUUGCCAUUUAAGCAGGCUGGACAACAGGAACCAAUAAAUCUUGGCCUACUAGACAAUUUGGCCUUGGCUGAAGAUCUGCCUACUAUUAAGAAGAAAUGCUUGACCAAAACAUUGGGAAAUCCGAAAGCAAGAUAAGUCAUUUUGGGGUCCUUGAGCAGACACGGCUGGGUUGUGGAAGGCUGGUUUAUCAAUAAAAUGUGGAACUCUCAUUCCAAAAUAGGUUGACUAGCCACUUCCAUGCUAAUUGCAUGCAUACAUACAUACUCAUGUAUUCAUGAAAUAAAAAGAUAAAAAUCCAAACAGUGAAAAUUUUAAAAAGGUCUCCAUCUGGCACCAGUGAGAAUAUAAAGGAGGCAUCUGAGAAGAACAUUCUACCAACUGACUCUGCUGCUCUGUCAGUCCUUUGGUCCUUCCUCUCACCUCAGACUAUGAAUUUAGUGAAAGAAGAAUUCAGAUAAAGGUCUUUGGAUAUGCAAAGAUAUCCAGUCUGAUCCUGGAACCCAAAACAUGCAGAGCAUUUCAGAUUUGUGGCAAAGGGACUCCAAGGACAGGACUUUCUCUUCACCCAGGAGAAGACACUCUGGCCCACAGGAAUCCCUGCUGGAAACCUUGGGAUUGCUGCUGCAGAUAAAAUAUCCCAAAGACACAUUUCUUUCAAGAUUGCAGAAAUGUAGGUCGCUCCAGGCCAUGGUCUUAAAGGAGCUAUUUCCCCGAGUUCCUUCAAACAUUUCAUAGUUAUUUCAAUCUGUAUUACAUAGCAGCUCAUUAUACCGCACCAGUCUAUGACUGUGUUGAAUCUACAAUAUCUAUUUGUAUCUCCUUGUGUAUAUCUUUCACCCCAAGUCUCUGAAACUCUAAAGAAAUCAAUGUCAUUAAAAGAGACCAUCACCUUUAGAUCACUUUGACCGUCAAUGACUUCACAUAGACAAAUCAACAAAUUCUUAAUGUGGUUUGCCAUGGCUUUUUUUCAAGAUUAUUUUUUUGUUGUUGUUCCCAGUAGAGUCUACACUGAUAUUCCUUGGAGGUGUCUCAUCCCAUUAUUCAUUAUUCCUGACCCGGUUUGACUCCAAGCUGAGAUAAACUCAGCCAAAUGCUGCCAUCUGCCGUUCCAGUCUUCAUACAGGUCCAAUCAAAGAAGGCACUGAAAUAAUUAACUGAUAGAACAUCUUCCCUGCCCAAUGAGAUCAAAGUAAAGUGAAUGAGGAUCCUUCAAAAGGCUUUUCCAUAAUUAAGCCAGAAUAUAAGUUGCACACAGCUUACCUGUGCUUUUGAGAAGAGCUUGACUCCCUCUUCUUUGUGGCAGCCCCUGAGAUAUUGGAAGACUGCUAUCAUGUCCCCCCCCCCUCGUCCUUCUUUUCAUUAAAGAUUAUUCAAAUGAAGGAAGAUCUGUG